UUGAGCGGAGAUAUAUGGAGCUUGCUUUAUAUAACUUAGCAGCGAACGGGUGAGUAACACGUAGAUAAUCUAUCCUAUACUGGGGGAUAGCCCGAUGAAAGUUGGAUUAAUACCGCAUAUAGCUAUAUAGUUGCAUGAUUAUGUAGUGAAAGAUUUAUUGGUAUAGGAGGAGUCUGCGGCACAUUAGCUAGUAGGUGAGGUAAAGGCUUACCUAGGCGACGAUGUGUAGCCGGUCUGAGAGGAUGAACGGCCACAAUGGAACUGAGACACGGUCCAUACUCCUACGGGAGGCAGCAGUGGGGAAUAUUGCACAAUGGGGGAAACCCUGAUGCAGCAACGCCGCGUGAGUGAAGAAGGUUUUCGGAUUGUAAAGCUCUGUUAGCAGGGAAGAGGAAGGACGGUACCUGCAGAGGAAGCCACGGCUAACUACGUGCCAGCAGCCGCGGUAAUACGUAGGUGGCAAGCGUUGUUCGGAAUAACUGGGCGUAAAGGAUGCGUAGGCGGUUAAACAAGUUAUAUGUUAAAUAUAUAGGCUUAACCUGUAGAAAGCAUAUAAAACUGUUUAACUAGAGUGCAGGAGAGGUAAGUGGAAUUCCUAGUGUAGCGGUGAAAUGCGUAGAGAUUAGGAAGAACACCAGUGGCGAAGGCGACUUACUGGACUGUAACUGACGCUGAGGCAUGAGAGCAUGGGGAGCAAACAGGACUAGAUACCCUGGUAGUCCAUGCUGUAAACGAUGGGU
This 740-nucleotide ribosomal RNA is filed under the name uncultured bacterium. Its description in RNAcentral is "bacterial SSU rRNA". It matches the Rfam family "Bacterial small subunit ribosomal RNA", at positions 62 to 814 of the family's 1533-position model. The record is from RNAcentral.